Molecule: non-coding RNA, 157 nt
Organism: Triticum urartu
Lineage: Eukaryota; Viridiplantae; Streptophyta; Magnoliopsida; Poales; Poaceae
Source: Rfam
CAACUACUCCCUCCGUCCGAAAAUAUUUGUCAUCAAAAUAAAUAAAAUAAGAUAUAUCUAGAUGUAUUUUAGUUUUAAAUGCAUCUCUUUUUAGUUUUAAAUACAUCUCUUUUUAUCCAUUUUAAUGACAAGUAUUUUCAGACGGAGAGAAUAUAUA